GCCUGGUAGAGAACUUGACAACAACUUUCCUCAACAGGAUGAGGAGGGAGUGGUUUUGAUAACAUCCUGAUAUCAUGAAGAACUGAACUAAUAUGUUAAAUUUGACUUGCCUGUGGAGCAACCAGUAAUAUAUUGGGAAUGAUUUAGGGAGAGCACAUCUUCUGGAAAUGACUGAAGAUGAUAAGAUCCGUGAAAGUCAGUUGAUCACAGCAUGUCUAGGAAUCAUCAGUGCCUUGUGCUGUAAAAAGCAAAAUUAUUCUUGGUGUGAAAUAGGACCAGUGAGCAGGUGCUAAGAAGGUCUCUUUGGCAGUUGAUGGAAAUAGAGAAUAUUUACAAGAAACCCACCCCUUCACAAGAUGAAAAACUAGAGGACAAUAAAGAAUAUGAUUUUUUUCCCCUGGAUGUAA
Passer domesticus (house sparrow) is the source of this 407-nucleotide long non-coding RNA. RefSeq lists it as uncharacterized. The transcript has 3 exons. The record is from RefSeq and is a predicted model, not a curated record. Lineage: Eukaryota; Metazoa; Chordata; Aves; Passeriformes; Passeridae.